This is a long non-coding RNA of Mus musculus (house mouse), 1533 nucleotides long. RefSeq annotates it as predicted gene, 32600. NCBI's taxonomy places the organism in Eukaryota, Metazoa, Chordata, Mammalia, Rodentia, Muridae. The transcript has 2 exons. The record is from RefSeq and is a predicted model, not a curated record.
GUACCCAUCCCACCAACAUAAAUAAAUAAAGAAAGAAAGAAAGAAAGAGACCCAGCAUGAAGACACUGACAUCAACCUCUACACACAUGAGCACAUACAUAUGAACAUGCUCACAUGCACAGGCACACACAAAGGCAACCACAACCACCACCACCACAACAAAAGAAGUGAGCAUCUUUGUCCUUUUCUUAUAAGGGGAAAACUGAGGCAUGGGAAGCUGUUGCUACCAGAACUGAACCUGAAUCCCAGGUCUGCCCAGCCUCAGAGGCCUUCCUUCUGCUGGGGAAUUUGCAGGCAUAGGGUCUCUGUGGGUGACAUCAGCCUGCUUGCAGCCUGCGACCCCAACAGCAGUGGAAGCCUGCAUAGCAGAGAAGAGUGUGGCUUCCCUGUGGCUCCUGGGCUGGGAGGAUUGUCCUGGUCAAAGGGGCACUGGCAGCUGCUGUCAUCAGAAGUUAACAGCUAACAUCCACCGAGCCUUCCCUGCCUCACAUCUUCCAGAGGUGUGGGAAGCACAAAUCAUCCAAACACCUGGAUCCAGCUGUGCCUAAAGCAAACCGUCUCUAGAAUGUCUUUAACGUGACUCACUGGAUUCCUCGUAGCUUGAAUUGAUCUGAGUUGGGGUUUGGUCCCUCUCAAGUUGAAUCAGGGAGCCCUGACUAACCCACCUACCUCGUGGACUUUAUCUGGGCUUCUAUCUCCUCAUCCUUCAGAGUCUAGAGACACACCCACUAACUGUCCCAUCCCUGUGCUGACUCAUGGGUCCCCUAGAGUUUCAGUCCUUCCUUCCCACAUGAGUCUGCCCCUUUCCCACACACCCUGCUCAGGACAGAGGGCGUGUGGGUGUGCGUGCCAGUGUGUGAGCACGCCCUUGUUCCGGGAAGGUGCCCGUGGGCUUUGCUUGGCCCCAGAUCAGACCUCGUUAUUAAAGUGAUGACAGCUACCAUAGACUGUGUCUGCCCCCAAAGCAGGUGGCCACGCUGCCUGAGCAGCCCUGCCAGGCAGGUUUGUGGUCCCCGAGUCCUGGGAGGCCAACCAAGCCGAGCAGCGAGAAGCAGAAACUGCAUCGCAAAUCCAGUGGCUGGAUCUCCACUCAAAAGUCAGGAGCAUAUCGACGUGGUUUCUGAUGGAGACGAUAGAUCACUAGCCCUAGACGCCCCUGGCCUUGCCUGCUCCUUGGACACUGGCCCCGCACAGUGCCUGCCUGGACCCUAGAGAAGGAUCUGGUCCCUUCAUCACUAUCUUCCCUGGUUCUCUUUUUCCUUCAGAUUCAGGAGCAAGGAGUGGUGGGUGGGCAGGGUUUGCAGCUCUGUUCCCCAAGACCUGCCACCUACUGCCUGCCUUGGUCACAUGUCUUCUCUUCCUCCCCUUGAUCCCAUGGUGAGGUGGGAGCAGGAAGGAGACCUCCUGCCGCCAGGUACACAGGAUUCCAGAACUUUCUUAGAUGGGCAUGGUGUGAAGCUGGACUGUGAGCCCCUGCUCUGUUUCCUUCCUGUUCUUCGGGCUGGAAAUUACUAACUGAGCCCUUCCAACUUG